This 324-nucleotide ribosomal RNA is filed under the name uncultured eukaryote. RNAcentral's name for it is "partial 18S ribosomal RNA". It matches the Rfam family "Eukaryotic small subunit ribosomal RNA", at positions 1470 to 1796 of the family's 1831-position model. The record is from RNAcentral.
CCCUUAGAUGUUCUGGGCCGCACGCGCGCUACACUGAUGCAUUCAACGAGUUUCUUCCUGGUCCGAGAGGAAUGGGUAACCUUAUGAAAGUGCAUCGUGAUAGGGAUAGACUAUUGCAAUUAUUGGUCUUCAACGAGGAAUUCCUAGUAGACGUAGUUCAUCAGACUGCAUCGAUUACGUCCCUGCCCUUUGUACACACCGCCCGUCGCUCCUACCGAUUGAAUGCUCAGGUGAGCCAUUCGGACUUUCAUCAUGCUGGUUUCCAGUUUUGAUGAAGGAAAGUCUUGCGAACCUUAUCAUUUAGAGGAAGGAGAAGUCGUAACA